ACUGUGAAGUCACAAGAGGCCCUGAGCUCUGUGGGCCCCAGGUGCCCCGGGAAAACUUGGGGGAGAAUGGGCAUCCCACCCCAGCACUUUCUAGGAAGAAGGGCAGCAUUUUGAAGGGCUGGAAGUAGAGGAAGGAGGUUGCGGGUAGAAGACUCCAUACUUUCUGUGACGCCUAUUCCUUAGUCAGAGGCAUGGCUUGCCUGGGCCUCUGGGUGCAGCUGCACAGAUUCAAGCAGCCUGAAGGAAAGGUGACUGACAGCUAAUGAUCUGAAAAGAACUUGUCUCAACUCAACGUCAUUCCUGGCAUUAUCGAACAAAGCAAUAAACCUCACAGAAUGGAAGCUACAGUGUCCAGGGCCAGCUCUGCUAAGGUAACCAAAGACAGAGAAGGAGGCAAAAGUGACAGAAGAAACUCAUGGGAAACCAACAGAAAUAUAAUGGCUUUGGCAGAAAUGCAAUUAUCAAUUGGGAGCUUGUGAUGAAUGUUUUCUCAGUAUCCUAUGCUGAAAACAGGUAGAUACUAAUAUCGAUCUUCAAGGGAGGGCUGUUGAGUAUUGAAUAAGACAAAAACAUGGAAGCAAUCAGCACCAUGCUGGAAUCAAGGCUAUCUGUAAUCACAGGGCUAUUUGAAAAAGAGAAGAAAAGGUGUCUUGAAAUUCAACCAACAUGUUUCAAUUAUUUGCUCCUAAGAACAACAGAAGUUUCAACAUUCUGCCAACAGAGUAACUCCUGGAAGAUUGGCACAGAAGAAGGCACAAGGAAGUCAGUGAUAAAAAUAUUUAAGCAGCUUUGUCUGCCUUAGACCUUCCAACUAAAAGUACAGCAAGUGGAAUGGAAUGCUAAUAUGAGGAUCCAAAUUUUCAGGGAAGGAGGAGAGCCUUUAUAUAACCAAAGAUAUUUUUGGACCAUGAAUUCAGAAAUUCUCGGAGCCACCCAUCAGUGCCUGAGCUUCAGUGAGUCCAUAUCCCAUGUCACCCACGGCAAAGGAGACUCUAAGACUUCUGAAGAGUUUCUUGCUUCUUUCCUGUGGGGCAGUGACUCCACUUCCCAGCAGUAAUGGAAUAUCCUGAAUUAGCUACAUUAAUGUUAGAACCAUUUGGACCUCACCCAGGACUUCAACUACAUUAUGCUAAAGUUACAGAACCCAAAUUUGGCAACUGUCUGCAUCUGAACAACAGAAGUUUCAACAUUCUGCCAACAGAGUAACUCCUGGACGAUUGGCACAGAAGAAGGCACAAGGCAAAUACCCAUCUCUGUACACCCUGUGCUACUGUGUCAUGUGCUGCUCCAGGCAACUCCAAUGGAUUGGCCACCCUGGCCAAUGUGCCCUCCAAACACCAGCACUGAGUAGAAAGAGGCUCUGAUUCAUGAAAUGUGAAUUUAUGACAGUUGCCACUCUUAAAAAAAAAAACAAACAGACAGAACUUGAGCAAUACAUGACUGAUGCAUUCUCAGCCUGCUUCCUGUGUUCCAUCUGUCUUUCUGCCAGUGCAUUCACCCUCCAGGUUCUAGUAUGUUACGUUUAUGUUCCCCUGCUUUCUACAAUCCUGUUCAAAGAGUUGCUGACUUAACCACAGAGAGGAUUCCAGAACCUGAGACACAGAAUAAACUUGAGCAAUCAUAGUCCAUCCACUUCAUUGUCUCAUCAAAAACCAAAGGUCCAGUGAAGCUCUGGAACUCAACGCUGUAAAGGAGCGAAGGAGCUUCUAUACAGAGCCUGGAUGCCUGUCUCCUUAUCCUACUUCAGUGGACUUGACUGCAAUCCGGAUUAUGCUGUUUUCUAAGCAUUUAAAAUAAAAUAAAAAGUAUAAUAGUGUGAUAAGUUCUUUCACAAAGCAAGCAAUCACAUUUAUGUUUCUACUUACAUUUGGGUUUUCCAAAUAUGUGUGUGUGUGUGUGUGUGUGUGUGUGUGUGUGUAUGUAGACUUUAAACAUGGUGCAUCCAUCAUGUUGCACUAAAUCAAAACCACCAAAUAAUGAUGUAGAACUAAUAAAUCAAAACCAUCAAAUAAUGACAUAGAAAUCCAAUUCUCCCACCUUACACCCAUUAAGAUGGCUACU
This 2061-nucleotide long non-coding RNA is filed under the name Homo sapiens (human). Its description in RNAcentral is "PREDICTED lncRNA (TCONS_00067676)". Lineage: Eukaryota; Metazoa; Chordata; Mammalia; Primates; Hominidae. The record is from RNAcentral.